Molecule: ribosomal RNA, 253 nt
Filed under: uncultured bacterium
Lineage: Bacteria
Description: partial 16S ribosomal RNA
Rfam family: Bacterial small subunit ribosomal RNA
Source: RNAcentral
UACGGAGGGUGCAAGCGUUAUCCGGAUUCACUGGGUUUAAAGGGUGCGUAGGCGGGUAUGUAAGUCAGCGGUGAAAUCUCCGAGCUUAACUUGGGAACUGCCGUUGAUACUAUAUAUCUUGAAUGUCGUGGAGGUUAGCGGAAUAUGUCAUGUAGCGGUGAAAUGCUUAGAUAUGACAUAGAACACCCAUUGCGAAGGCAGCUAACUACGCGAAUAUUGACGCUGAGGCACGAAAGCGUGGGGAUCAAACAGG